Molecule: long non-coding RNA, 544 nt
Organism: Macrobrachium nipponense
Lineage: Eukaryota; Metazoa; Arthropoda; Malacostraca; Decapoda; Palaemonidae
Exons: 3
Source: RefSeq, a predicted model, not a curated record
GACUGGCAUGCACCUGUGACUUACAUAAACCAGACCUCUACAUAGCCUACAUGUCUUCAUUUUGCUGGAGACUGCCCAUCAUCCUAGCCUGUUAUCUGUGAUAAAGCACACUGAAGUUAGGUUUGGAAUGCAUCCUUAUCAUGAAUGCUCUACACCUCCACCUCCAUCUCCCACAACCUAGGUAACAGCUUGAGACUCACUAAAAGUUGGUAAGUUAUGUAAGGAAUUUCUAAAUUAAGUUUUAUACUACAUGUUAUAUGUGAUAUUAAACCACUGUAUGGUGCAUAUUACUGUAUGUAACUUACUAUGCAUAGAGUACUUACUGACAAAAUUAUUUUUUGUACAUUCCAGAACCCCCUGAAUGAUGUAGGCUAUGGGGCCACAUAAGACUUUGUCCAUCCAGGGUUACAUUGAACGACAACUUUAAACUAAAAAACCAACAUUUUUCACACAACUCCAGGUUGUUACUACAAGUGUCAUCAAGGGAUAACUACAAGUAGAAGCACCAUUUUUGGAUGGAAAAAACCCUUCAGGAAAGUAUACG